Molecule: long non-coding RNA, 230 nt
Organism: Nanorana parkeri
Lineage: Eukaryota; Metazoa; Chordata; Amphibia; Anura; Dicroglossidae
Exons: 4
Source: RefSeq, a predicted model, not a curated record
GGGGCGCGCGCAGUCAGUCAGGAAAAGGGGGUAAAGAAGAUGGCGGAUGUGGAGGAGCAGCUGUCCGAUGAGGAGAAGGUACGUGUAGCAGCAAAAUUCAUCAUCCAUGCUCCUCCAGGAGAAUUCAAUGAAGUGUUUAAUGAUGUUCGGUUACUACUUAACAAUGACAACUUACUCAGGGAAGGCGCUGCUCAUGCUUUUGCACAGUACAACUUAGAUCAGUUCACGCC